UAAAGCAGCGUGUACUAUUCAGGGAAAAAUCCCUUUCCAAAUCCUGUAUGCAGCAUGCAUCAGCCCCAGUGAAACUGAGAGAAGCCCGUUAAGAAAUCCGAUUAGCUGUCUGCUCUCUAGCUUCUUGUGCAGCCAACCACUCAACAGAAUCCUUCAGCCUCUUGUUUCAAAAGACCUUGGACAAUCUUCUGCUGUUCCACUCCCUUUGGUCCCACAUUUCAGCAAAAAAAAAAAAAAAA
Ficedula albicollis (Collared flycatcher) is the source of this 239-nucleotide long non-coding RNA. RefSeq lists it as uncharacterized. The transcript is spliced from 2 exons. NCBI's taxonomy places the organism in Eukaryota, Metazoa, Chordata, Aves, Passeriformes, Muscicapidae. The record is from RefSeq and is a predicted model, not a curated record.